AGAUUUCCAACAAGAUAUUAAUCCAGCCAUGAAGACUACAUGUUUAGAAGGAAAAAAAAAAAGAAAAACCGAGUUACAAUAGAUACAACCUAUUUAAUCUAAAAACUACAACUAGUAAGAAAUCUCCUAACUAAUUUUCUUUUCCACAAGAAAAAAAAGAAGUUCUCUCUCAAAGCCGCCGCUUCUCGUGUUGAAACCCUAAUCUGGUGGCCGCCGCCUCAUGCGGUCACCGAAUCUAGUUUCCAACGUUUUCCUGUCUUGUCUCCGUUCAUAUCCCUCUUCCUCCUCCGCGAGUUGUCUCUUCUACCGGUGUACUGCAGAGCAGUGUGAAGAACCUAUGUUUUCUUAGAUCCAUUGAAACUUUGGUAGAUCUUUGCGCGUGGAAGGGUGUUUGUGGGUGGUGUAUAGGUUUGCACCUUCCUCUGGUCUCCGUUUGCGACUCUGAUCGAGACAGUUUGAAAGGAGUUGAAUCCAGUUAUCUUCUCUGGGAGUUUUAGAGUGUGGCUUAUUUGGUCCUUGAUUUAGCAACGGGUUAGCAUUAACGUGGUGGUGUGUGAUGAGCAGGUGAAGAUUCUGUCUUUGUGAUGAAGUUGGUUGCAGGUUUCCUUUUCAUCUCUCGGUUCCUGGUAUGUUUUUUGCUCUCUGUUUGCCCUCGGUGGCUUCAUUUGGUGAAGCAAUAUAAGGAGGCUGAGAUGCGAAAGCUUUCAGAUGAUGGUGCGUUUGAGUGAGACCUUCCUUCUAUGAUGUUUCUUCAUGGUUUCUGCCUUGGUACAGGGGUAGUGGUUCAUUGGUUUUAUCGUGAAACAGGAGGUUCAGAUGAGAUCGUUGUGGUUUGGUGUUGUCAUCGUGAACUUGUGGUUCAGAUGAGGACUUGGCUCUUCACGAAGAAGUCUUCUACGUUAUGUGCUCUCUUGCUUAGUUCAUUGCAAGUUUUCCGGCUAGUCAUUGUCUUUUUAAGUUUUACUCUUGUAUUUUUGGAGGUUUGGUUCUGGGUUCGUGUAAGGAAUGUUAAGAUUUGUUCGACAGUUCUUUGUUGAUAUGUAGCCCGUGUGUUUUGGGUUCUUGGUCCCCUUAGUGGGUUUAGUUUCCGGGGAAGUGUAUGUGUUCCGCCGGCUCUAGUGUUUCAAGCUUGUUCCUUUAAUGUUAUCAAUGAAAAUUCAGAUGGAGAAAAAAAAAGUAAGAAAUUCCCUAUAAAUUA
Molecule: long non-coding RNA, 1198 nt
Organism: Raphanus sativus (radish)
Lineage: Eukaryota; Viridiplantae; Streptophyta; Magnoliopsida; Brassicales; Brassicaceae
Exons: 2
Source: RefSeq, a predicted model, not a curated record